GACAGAGGGUGCAAACGUUGUUCGGAAUUACUGGGCGUAAAGCGCGUGUAGGCGGCUAAGUAAGUCGGGCGUGAAAUCCCACGGCUCAACCGUGGAAGUGCACUCGAAACUGCAUAGCUAGAGUCCUGGAGAGGAAGGUGGAAUGCUUGGUGUAGAGGUGAAAUUCGUAGAUAUCAAGCGGAACACCGGUGGCGAAGGCGGCAUCCUGGACCGACACUGACACUGAGGAGCGAAAGCCAGGGGAGCAAACGGG
Molecule: ribosomal RNA, 253 nt
Filed under: uncultured bacterium
Lineage: Bacteria
Description: partial 16S ribosomal RNA
Rfam family: Bacterial small subunit ribosomal RNA
Source: RNAcentral